AGAGACAUCCAGAUUCAUAGGGGACAAGGCUUGGAGGACUGAUAAGCAGCACAGAAAUGCACGAGGAAUGGGGGAAGGCUGCCAUCCAUCCCGGAUGGGCUGAGGCAGCAGCUUUUGGGAUAGCCCCUGCUCCAGUUGUUCAGGACUCACAUGAAGACCAAGCUGCACAUCUGCUACAUGUGCGGGGGAAGCCUAGGCCCAGCCCGUGUAUGUUCUUUCGUUGGUGGUUCCGACUCUGAGAACCCCAAGGAUCCAGCUCCUAUGCUGAAGAUCGCCACCCAGUGGGGACACGGGAAAUUCCAACACAGGGUGCCCAGCUGUGACUUCAUGAGGAAGCCUGUGGAUGGUCAUAGAAAGCUGACUAACAUACAAGUCACUGAAGACAUUCAUCUUUCCUCUAAUAAAAUGGAGCCAGACAUUGUGCUGGCUGGUUUUGAGGGUCAGCUUGAAUGACAAGAAGCUAAAGUCAGAGAGGAAGGAGCCUCAGUUGAGGAAAUGCCUCCAUGAGAUCCAGCUGUUGGGCAUUUUCUCAUUAGUGAUCAAUGAGGGAGCCUAAUGAGGAUAGUGUUGUCCCUGGUCUGGUGGUCCUGGGUUCUAUAAGAAAGAAAGCUGAUAAGCCAUGUUAAGCAAGUCAGUUACCAGCACUCCUCCAAGACCCCUGCACAGCUCCAGUCUGCAGGCUCCAACCCUGCUUUAGUUCCUGUCCUGACUUCCUCCAAUGAUGGG
Molecule: long non-coding RNA, 726 nt
Filed under: Mus pahari (shrew mouse)
Lineage: Eukaryota; Metazoa; Chordata; Mammalia; Rodentia; Muridae
Description: lncRNA (MGP_PahariEiJ_G0005707.1)
Source: RNAcentral